RNAcentral lists this ribosomal RNA (2899 nucleotides) under Escherichia coli O157:H7. RNAcentral's name for it is "bacterial LSU rRNA". It matches the Rfam family "Bacterial large subunit ribosomal RNA". The record is from RNAcentral. Lineage: Bacteria; Pseudomonadati; Pseudomonadota; Gammaproteobacteria; Enterobacterales; Enterobacteriaceae.
UUAAGCGACUAAGCGUACACGGUGGAUGCCCUGGCAGUCAGAGGCGAUGAAGGACGUGCUAAUCUGCGAUAAGCGUCGGUAAGGUGAUAUGAACCGUUAUAACCGGCGAUUUCCGAAUGGGGAAACCCAGUGUGAUUCGUCACACUAUCAUUAACUGAAUCCAUAGGUUAAUGAGGCGAACCGGGGGAACUGAAACAUCUAAGUACCCCGAGGAAAAGAAAUCAACCGAGAUUCCCCCAGUAGCGGCGAGCGAACGGGGAGGAGCCCAGAGCCUGAAUCAGUGUGUGUGUUAGUGGAAGCGUCUGGAAAGGCGCGCGAUACAGGGUGACAGCCCCGUACACAAAAAUGCACAUGCUGUGAGCUCGAUGAGUAGGGCGGGACACGUGGUAUCCUGUCUGAAUAUGGGGGGACCAUCCUCCAAGGCUAAAUACUCCUGACUGACCGAUAGUGAACCAGUACCGUGAGGGAAAGGCGAAAAGAACCCCGGCGAGGGGAGUGAAAAAGAACCUGAAACCGUGUACGUACAAGCAGUGGGAGCCUCUUUUAUGGGGUGACUGCGUACCUUUUGUAUAAUGGGUCAGCGACUUAUAUUCUGUAGCAAGGUUAACCGAAUAGGGGAGCCGAAGGGAAACCGAGUCUUAACUGGGCGUUAAGUUGCAGGGUAUAGACCCGAAACCCGGUGAUCUAGCCAUGGGCAGGUUGAAGGUUGGGUAACACUAACUGGAGGACCGAACCGACUAAUGUUGAAAAAUUAGCGGAUGACUUGUGGCUGGGGGUGAAAGGCCAAUCAAACCGGGAGAUAGCUGGUUCUCCCCGAAAGCUAUUUAGGUAGCGCCUCGUGAAUUCAUCUCCGGGGGUAGAGCACUGUUUCGGCAAGGGGGUCAUCCCGACUUACCAACCCGAUGCAAACUGCGAAUACCGGAGAAUGUUAUCACGGGAGACACACGGCGGGUGCUAACGUCCGUCGUGAAGAGGGAAACAACCCAGACCGCCAGCUAAGGUCCCAAAGUCAUGGUUAAGUGGGAAACGAUGUGGGAAGGCCCAGACAGCCAGGAUGUUGGCUUAGAAGCAGCCAUCAUUUAAAGAAAGCGUAAUAGCUCACUGGUCGAGUCGGCCUGCGCGGAAGAUGUAACGGGGCUAAACCAUGCACCGAAGCUGCGGCAGCGACACUGUGUGUUGUUGGGUAGGGGAGCGUUCUGUAAGCCUGUGAAGGUGUGCUGUGAGGCAUGCUGGAGGUAUCAGAAGUGCGAAUGCUGACAUAAGUAACGAUAAAGCGGGUGAAAAGCCCGCUCGCCGGAAGACCAAGGGUUCCUGUCCAACGUUAAUCGGGGCAGGGUGAGUCGACCCCUAAGGCGAGGCCGAAAGGCGUAGUCGAUGGGAAACAGGUUAAUAUUCCUGUACUUGGUGUUACUGCGAAGGGGGGACGGAGAAGGCUAUGUUGGCCGGGCGACGGUUGUCCCGGUUUAAGCGUGUAGGCUGGUUUUCCAGGCAAAUCCGGAAAAUCAAGGCUGAGGCGUGAUGACGAGGCACUACGGUGCUGAAGCAACAAAUGCCCUGCUUCCAGGAAAAGCCUCUAAGCAUCAGGUAACAUCAAAUCGUACCCCAAACCGACACAGGUGGUCAGGUAGAGAAUACCAAGGCGCUUGAGAGAACUCGGGUGAAGGAACUAGGCAAAAUGGUGCCGUAACUUCGGGAGAAGGCACGCUGAUAUGUAGGUGAAGUCCCUCGCGGAUGGAGCUGAAAUCAGUCGAAGAUACCAGCUGGCUGCAACUGUUUAUUAAAACACAGCACUGUGCAAACACGAAAGUGGACGUAUACGGUGUGACGCCUGCCCGGUGCCGGAAGGUUAAUUGAUGGGGUCAGCGCAAGCGAAGCUCUUGAUCGAAGCCCCGGUAAACGGCGGCCGUAACUAUAACGGUCCUAAGGUAGCGAAAUUCCUUGUCGGGUAAGUUCCGACCUGCACGAAUGGCGUAAUGAUGGCCAGGCUGUCUCCACCCGAGACUCAGUGAAAUUGAACUCGCUGUGAAGAUGCAGUGUACCCGCGGCAAGACGGAAAGACCCCGUGAACCUUUACUAUAGCUUGACACUGAACAUUGAGCCUUGAUGUGUAGGAUAGGUGGGAGGCUUUGAAGUGUGGACGCCAGUCUGCAUGGAGCCGACCUUGAAAUACCACCCUUUAAUGUUUGAUGUUCUAACGUGGACCCGUGAUCCGGGUUGCGGACAGUGUCUGGUGGGUAGUUUGACUGGGGCGGUCUCCUCCUAAAGAGUAACGGAGGAGCACGAAGGUUGGCUAAUCCUGGUCGGACAUCAGGAGGUUAGUGCAAUGGCAUAAGCCAGCUUGACUGCGAGCGUGACGGCGCGAGCAGGUGCGAAAGCAGGUCAUAGUGAUCCGGUGGUUCUGAAUGGAAGGGCCAUCGCUCAACGGAUAAAAGGUACUCCGGGGAUAACAGGCUGAUACCGCCCAAGAGUUCAUAUCGACGGCGGUGUUUGGCACCUCGAUGUCGGCUCAUCACAUCCUGGGGCUGAAGUAGGUCCCAAGGGUAUGGCUGUUCGCCAUUUAAAGUGGUACGCGAGCUGGGUUUAGAACGUCGUGAGACAGUUCGGUCCCUAUCUGCCGUGGGCGCUGGAGAACUGAGGGGGGCUGCUCCUAGUACGAGAGGACCGGAGUGGACGCAUCACUGGUGUUCGGGUUGUCAUGCCAAUGGCACUGCCCGGUAGCUAAAUGCGGAAGAGAUAAGUGCUGAAAGCAUCUAAGCACGAAACUUGCCCCGAGAUGAGUUCUCCCUGACCCUUUAAGGGUCCUGAAGGAACGUUGAAGACGACGACGUUGAUAGGCCGGGUGUGUAAGCGCAGCGAUGCGUUGAGCUAACCGGUACUAAUGAACCGUGAGGCUUAACCU